This 76-nucleotide transfer RNA is filed under the name compost metagenome. RNAcentral's name for it is "tRNA-Met". It matches the Rfam family "tRNA". From Rfam's summary of the family: Transfer RNA (tRNA) molecules are approximately 80 nucleotides in length. Their secondary structure includes four short double-helical elements and three loops (D, anti-codon, and T loops). The record is from RNAcentral.
UGCGAGGUAGAGAAGUCCGGUCAUCUCACAAGGCUCAUAACCUUGAGAUCGGUGGUUCGAAUCCACCCCUCGCAUC